RNAcentral lists this ribosomal RNA (516 nucleotides) under uncultured bacterium. Its description in RNAcentral is "bacterial SSU rRNA". It matches the Rfam family "Bacterial small subunit ribosomal RNA", at positions 43 to 586 of the family's 1533-position model. The record is from RNAcentral.
CAGGCCUAACACAUGCAAGUCGAGCGGUAACAGGUCUAGUUUACUAGAUGCUGACGAGCGGCGGACGGCUGAGUAACGCGUGGGAACGUGCCCCAAAGUGAGGGAUAACCGCUCGAAAGAGUGGCUAAUACCGCAUAUGAUCUUCGGAUUAAAGGAUUUAUCCGCUUUGGGAGCGGCCCGCGUUAGAUUAGGUAGUUGGUGAGGUAAAGGCUCACCAAGCCGACGAUCUAUAGCUGGUCUGAGAGGAUGAUCAGCCAGACUGGGACUGAGACACGGCCCAGACUCCUACGGGAGGCAGCAGUGAGGAAUCUUCCACAAUGGGGGCAACCCUGAUGGAGCAACGCCGCGUGCAGGAUGAAGGCCUUCGGGUUGUAAACUGCUUUUAUGAGUGAAGAAUAUGACGGUAACUCAUGAAUAAGCACCGGCUAACUACGUGCCACCAGCCGCGGUCAUACGUAUGGUGCAAGCAUUAUCCGGAGUGACUGGGCGUAAAGAGUUGCGUAUGUGGUUUAUUAA